This 1691-nucleotide unclassified non-coding RNA is filed under the name Bombus terrestris (buff-tailed bumblebee). RNAcentral's name for it is "misc RNA ENSBTSG00005027009.1". Lineage: Eukaryota; Metazoa; Arthropoda; Insecta; Hymenoptera; Apidae. The record is from RNAcentral.
GGAGAGGGCGCAGUGAUCCCGCGACCAUCAAACCAACAACACCGUCCCGACACAAAACGGCGCAUCCUGCUGCGCCCCCUUCUUCUUCUUCUGUCGCUUCUGCCGCUUCUGCUUCUUCUUCUUCGUCGACACGUCCUGUUCCAUCGUAGUCGGCCACGGCGGCGUCGACCGAAGUCGGCUCACGCAUCCUGACUUUCUUGCCGCUUUCAUCCAAGCAAGGUGUCGAACACGAUCCUCCACGAUGGAUUCCAUGGAGGUAUCCGAGAGAUUCAUCUCCUGGACCUGCUGGACGAUGGAGUAUGGUUCUCCAAUACGGUGACCGUGGCUGGAAGAGGAUCCAGGAGACGUUCGAUCAUCUACCAUUGGAUCCACGGAACACGGAAUUCAUUGGCAGAUACCAGGUAGAACCAUGCGGUUCGUCGGCCCGGUACCAGGGUUCUCAUGAAUGGAGGAGGGUUCGCCAGGAUCGAUGAAGAGGGCGUGCCUUCAGGGGAGGAUUGGUAUCCGUGACGUUUUCAACCCCACCUGAGAAGGCCGCAAACGGAGUGCACGUGCUCGAUUACGUCAUAAGGAUAGCCGGGACUGGAGCGAGAGUAAAGUCAUUCAGUGAUCCUGUAUCGCUGCUCGUUCCACGGUCAUAAGACUCCACUUCCGGUUCUCACCGUAACUGUAAAUUAAUGUCAACUUUACGCUUUCCACGGGGCACCGCGGAGUAUCUCCGCCGCGAAUAAUGGACGUCUGUGCACGCGAAUUAGAAACGACGAUCGCGAAACCAAGCGUACGCAAGCUUUCGUUAUCGGAAAAGCGGUUCGAUUGCAACGGGGGUUGGGGAGGAUACGCCGUUAUACUCGGGAUUUGAGACGAGUUGGUAAUAACGUAGAUUAUUCGAUCGGUGGAGAGAAUAUUUUGUAUACUCGAUUAUUAUAGAGAAGCUUUUUUAAAAAGAAAAAUUGCAAUUUAGAUUAUUCGGUUGUUAUUAUAGAUUAUCGGAAUUAGUUUGUUCUUAAAUUUGUAAAUAUAGUGUAGAAAUAAUGUAGAGAUGAUCGAGUUUUAGGUCUGAGAAAUCUAGAUUAUUUGAUUAUUAUUAUUAUCAUAGAAAAUUUUUUCUUUGCAAAUGGGGAUGAUAAAAACACGAACGUAGAGAAACGUGCCAUAAUUUCGAACCGUAAAAUACUUUGAAUUCGGAGAACAUAUUUUACUCGAUCGUUAUAAUGAGCUUUUAUCUUGCAAAUGUGUGUAAUGAGGAUAGCAAUAUAGGAGGACGUAACUGAGCUUUAAAGGAUCAUGAAUUUCGGUUGUCGUAUAAAGCUUGAUCGUAAUAAAGUAUUUUUUCCUGUAAGUUUAUAGAUUAACAGCAGAAUUUUUAAACCUAAUUUAGAUAUCGCGAGGUUUCACGUUUUCAAGAAUAUAAUUUUAUAAAUAUCGUGCGAUAUUCAAGAGUAACCUCCAUCGUCCGAUAUCGACAGAUCUAUCUUUGCUCCUCGCCGAGAGUAGCGAUUAUUAAUGACGCGAGUCUCGGCAUCGUUGCAAGAACCAAUAACAUCUUAGAUACGUAGAUUUACGUAGAUUACGUAGAUAUUAGAACGACCAAACUACUUUACCUUAUAUUUUAUUAGAACGAAUGUUUUCGAUUGAUCAAGAACUGUAAUUAAGGUUUGAGAGUGUAUAUGUAACGCAUUUGUGAAAGCAAG